UUUUCCCAAAAUGGCAGGCAAUUCCUGCUAGGUACAUUUGUUUUCUGAAAUCUUAAAUGGAGUGGGUUUGGGUGUGCAGCUCCAUCUGAUGAGUUCAGCUGCUGAGGGGGCAGAGAAAGUGUCAUCCAAUUUCUGUGAGCAGGUUCGCUUCCCACACCCCUGCUACCCUCUGGGCCAAACUGCAUCACACACCAAGUCCUUGUGUCUCACUUAUGUGGACGCUCAGUCUUGAAGGGAGCACCACCUCUGCUUUUUGGGGUCAGGAAAUCAUAUUUCAGGGAUAUUAGUGACUUGCUCAGCUUCGGGACUCCAAGACAGUUUCUCUUGGUAAACUCAGAUAAUCUUCCUUGCACAUCUUAGAAAAACAUGGAAUGGGGUAAAAGAAAACACCAGAUUUUUUGUAGUUCAUUUAUAAUCCAACCAAAAUAUUAACAUUUAAAUUAAUGUUUACUUUCCCAAAGCUUAAGUUGUGUGGGUAUAUGCAUUGGAAGUGUUUCUAACUGGGAGAAAGGCAUUUCCAGCUUUCCUAAACAAAACCAACUCCCGAAGGGCAUUGGGCUCCAUCCACUCUUUCAUUGAUAAUUUAAGAUAAUUAAGUCCUUUUUUCUAGUAGCCAGCUGCCCCAGGGUGACGAUAACUGGUAGAUGCUAUUUCUUAGUUUCUGCGUUAACCCUCUGAAAAUGUGAAGAGUCUAAUUGGACUUUUGAUAGCAUUCAGACUAAUUGCCAAGCCUUUGCUCUAAGGUCCAAGAUCAAUACUGACAUUACAAAGCUCGGUAGAAUUAGGAACACAGAAAAACCAGCUGAAAGCGUUUGUUUUGUUUUUUAAUUUAAUUUUAAAGUGGAAGUACUUUUCAACUAUGAAUCUAGCAGAUAUCCUAUGCCAUUCAAAGAAAUCUAAGAAGUCUCCUUAUAUAUGUAGGGUUCUUGGUUUUUUUUUUUUUUUUUUUUUUGGUUUUUUUUUGGGGGGGGUGAUACACAGAUUCAUUCAUCUGUUACCUGACCUUUAAUGGUGUGUGCUAUCUGUGACUGUUUGGGGUUUUGACAGACAUCUGGUUAAACUUUAUAUACUUAGAACAGUGUGGAUCUGGCAUAGAAAAUACAUUUUAGAAACCUGAGGUUUUUGAUGUAUGUGGUCUGUGCUCGUCACAUGGACAGUCAGGUCUUGCUUCCCUCUGGACUGUGCACAGCAGAUUCUUCUCUUUGUUCAGAUGGAAUCACGAAGUCAUGGACCUUCUCUCUCCUUCCAGCUCUUUGCUGUCCAGAACUCAGUCUCCUACACUGCUUGAGUGCCUCUCAGUUCAGCCACAUUUCUUCUGUUAAUUGUCAUCCUGCAAUAUAAUUAAUUUCCACGUCGCUUCUAACUGGAUGAAAUCCCACCACUGAAGAUGUAGUAGAGUUCUGCCAGCAGUGAUUGUUUUAAAGGAACGCUUGCCAGGCGGAACAUCAUGGCGGUGGGAGCCUGUGGAGGAGUGGUCCACUUCCUGACAGCUGGGAGCAGAGAGAGGGGAUACAGACGCAGCCAGGACAGAGCACAGCCCCAAGACACACCAUGCUUGCCUUCUUACAAACCCACCAUUCCUGCCUCAUUUGUCUUGUGGAGUCAGUGAGAUGGAAGCUCCGGCAGCAGAGCUUCCCAGGGACUGCUGCAGCACUGAGGAGGCCAGAGGAAGCAAAGGCUGGCUGAGGACCUUAACUCCUUCCAGUUGCCUCAUGUAAGGCAUAUGCUACCUUCAGCACAUGGAGAUCGUCUAGAGAGAGAGAAGCAUGUCCGGCUUUCUGAGAUGCAGCUUGUUUAUCUAAAGCAGAGCUUAUUAAAUACUUUCCAUUUUGCCAAAGAAAAUUUUACAUACAGUAUAUAGGUUGACUGCCACGGUAUCGUUCUGCUUAUGCUCAAGUAACACUUGUUUUACUGAAUAUGGUACCCAAAGUACAAGAGUAUUGAUACUGGCAUUUUGGUCGUGCCAAAGAGAAGCCAUGAUGGGAUUGUCUUAAUAAGGAAAGAAAGAUACUAUGUGGUGAUGUCACUAAAAUCGACACAUUGCCCCAGUUUGUCUGCUCUUUGUGGCUGCAGUGACCCUUGGUUCCAUGGUCCCACUGCUCUAGUCAUGCUCCUGGCUGUCCUGAGACACCUGUACCCGCAGAGACCGGAAGAGGCCAUCGGAUCCCCUAAAGCUGGAGUUCAGGGGAUGCCUCCGACCCUGCCUGGCUCCAGCCCCGACGAUGGAUUGCACAGCGUGCUGAGAUUGGUCCCCUGAGAUCUAUCUGGAGAUCCAGUGGAUUUUAGUGCUUGUUUGUUUUCAUGGAAACUAUGGUGGGCUUGAACUCAGCUCAAGUGCAGGCACGUGAGUGGACACGAAGGGAAGCAAUCAGGAGGAAUUCAUAUCACAUAAGCCUUGAAGCUAGAGUAUUUAGUAACGUUCUCACAGAUUUCUGAAGGUUGUGGAAGGCUCCAAAUGGCAUUGAGUAACCACAGUCUAAUUAUAAGUCUUUGAAAAGAGAGUGUCUACUAAAAGGAAAAUUUGAAGGAGUCUUUUGAGUUCUUGUUCAAGUCAACAACCCCAACAUUAUUUACUAGAUAUAACCAAUGUGCAGGUCUCCCCAAAACAAAAAUCAUCCCUAACAGAAUGAAAGCAGAAAUUUAAGAAUCAUAAUAAAAUAGCAUGCAUUUCAAUAUGCUAAAACUCAGGAUAAACUUCUCUGGGGGAAUUGAUGAAAUAGUGGAUGUUCCUCUCUUGGUGAAUUUACCCAGAUCAAAUGCUGCCUCUGCGUGAAAAGUACAUUGUGAGGGCUUCUGUGGCCUGUGGGAUGAAGAUGCCUCACACUGUUGGUGGCUGGGACCUGGGAAGAUGUUGUCCUUCCUUUCACAUACAUGCUGUGACUUCACAACUCAUGCUUCGAUCAGUGCUUGGAGUUACGGGAUCAUCCAAGCAGGGUUAAGCACAAGCAAUAUUUCUGCUUCUGUUUAUUCCACCAGGAGGGCCUUCUGAGGACCCAUUUGUCUGAGUUCUUAUGUAGCCACAAAACUUACAUAGUGCAAACUGGAGGUACUUACCCUAUUUUAUUAAAAUUAUCAUCUUAUUUCUAAAGCUCCCCUACUGAAGAGGAUUCUGGCCCAGGGGACAGUCAGAAGAUGUCCAUUGUUGUCCUCCAGAGCUUUGCAGGAAAUCUGGAGAACCAGAUGCCUCAUCAAUAACAGUAAAGAUACCAGCACAGCUAAUAAUCUGUCCUUCAUCUGUACUCCUCAGCCUGCUCCCAGGUCACCCCCAGAUAUUGUUUUUCAGGUGAAUGCUAUAUUUAUACCAUCUUUUGGGAUAGUGGGAUCUCUUUUUAUUAAAAAUUUUCUUAGCAAUUCAUGCAUAUGUAUACACACUGUUUAUAACCAAUAUGGAAUAAAAAGUAUCCAGCCAAAAUCUUGCUUUGAGAAACUCACAAUGAAAUAGAUUCAUUUUUUUAUUUUUAUUCAUAUAAAAAUUUUUUGUGUGUAUUUGGAUGAAAAGAGGCAGCAUAACCUAGUAGCUAAGAUGGUAAAGAAGUCACCGUAACUCCCAAUGCCUUAAUUUUCUCACCUGAGCAACAGGAGUAAAGUCAUAUCACCUCAGAGACUGAGUGGUGAGUUAGCAUGUAUGAAGUGUUUGUCCAUGGGAGGAGGAUUGUAGGAUAUAAGCAAAUACCACAGCAUUUUAUGUAAGGCUUUUGAGCAUCUGCCAAUUUUGGUAACCCCAAAGGGUCCCAACACCAAUCCCCAACACAUAGGGGACAAUAUGAUUUGGGCAAAAAUUGCUGGUCAGCUCUUGUUAGUCACACUGAGAACUUGACCUUUUACCCCGGGGCAAUAGAAGGGAUUUCAGUAUUUGAGCAAAAAGUGCUGUGUAGCUGAAGCCAGACCUCCUGAACCUUAACAGAUGGUACCUAUCAACAAAGGUUAUAGCCGGUCUUCCCAGGACUUGACCAUAAUUCUUAAUUAUCUCAGGAUCCCCAUAAGAACACAGCACCCUUUGUCAACAGGAUGUAGCCUAGAAAACUAAAUCCACAUUCCCAAAAAAUAGAUUAGGGAUGUCUGUCUUUAUUUAGGUUGCUGGUUACA
This is a long non-coding RNA of Peromyscus californicus insignis, 4086 nucleotides long. RefSeq lists it as uncharacterized. The record is from RefSeq and is a predicted model, not a curated record. The transcript is spliced from 9 exons. Lineage: Eukaryota; Metazoa; Chordata; Mammalia; Rodentia; Cricetidae.